GGACUUGUAGCAUAUGGAUAAAAGACAAAGAGACAACCAGGUUGCGUAGAGAACCCUACUGAAGUACUUUCGACGAGCAGUAGCGUCUAGACAAACACUGCCCCCAAGCCGGUUUCCAAUGCAUCAGCUUUCUACAGUAGAGGGCGCCAGAUUGCUGGUUACUCUGCCACGGAUGCAUUGCUACAAUC
Molecule: long non-coding RNA, 188 nt
Organism: Asterias rubens (European starfish)
Lineage: Eukaryota; Metazoa; Echinodermata; Asteroidea; Forcipulatida; Asteriidae
Exons: 3
Source: RefSeq, a predicted model, not a curated record